UGACGAACGCUGGCGGCGUGCUUAACACAUGCAAGUCGAACGGAAAGGCCCUGCUUUUGUGGGGUGCUCGAGUGGCGAACGGGUGAGUAACACGUGAGUAACCUGCCCUUGACUUUGGGAUAACUUCAGGAAACUGGGGCUAAUACCGGAUAGGAGCUCCUGCUGCAUGGUGGGGGUUGGAAAGUUUCGGCGGUUGGGGAUGGACUCGCGGCUUAUCAGCUUGUUGGUGGGGUAGUGGCUUACCAAGGCUUUGACGGGUAGCCGGCCUGAGAGGGUGACCGGCCACAUUGGGACUGAGAUACGGCCCAGACUCCUACGGGAGGCAGCAGUGGGGAAUAUUGCACAAUGGGCGGAAGCCUGAUGCAGCAACGCCGCGUGCGGGAUGACGGCCUUCGGGUUGUAAACCGCUUUCGCCUGUGACGAAGCGUGAGUGACGGUAAUGGGUAAAGAAGCACCGGCUAACUACGUGCCAGCAGCCGCGGUGAUACGUAGGGUGCGAGCGUUGUCCGGAUUUAUUGGGCGUAAAGGGCUCGUAGGUGGUUGAUCGCGUCGGAAGUGUAAUCUUGGGGCUUAACCCUGAGCGUGCUUUCGAUACGGGUUGACUUGAGGAAGGUAGGGGAGAAUGGAAUUCCUGGUGGAGCGGUGGAAUGCGCAGAUAUCAGGAGGAACACCAGUGGCGAAGGCGGUUCUCUGGGCCUUUCCUGACGCUGAGGAGCGAAAGCGUGGGGAGCGAACAGGCUUAGAUACCCUGGUAGUCCACGCUGUAAACGGUGGGUACUAGGUGUGGGGUCCAUUCCACGGGUUCCGUGCCGUAGCUAACGCUUUAAGUACCCCGCCUGGGGAGUACGGCCGCAAGGCUAAAACUCAAAGGAAUUGACGGGGCCCCGCACAAGCGGCGGAGCAUGCGGAUUAAUUCGAUGCAACGCGUAGAACCUUACCUGGGUUUGACAUGGAUCGGGAGUGCUCAGAGAUGGGUGUGCCUCUUUUGGGGUCGGUUCACAGGUGGUGCAUGGCUGUCGUCAGCUCGUGUCGUGAGACGUUGGGUUAAGUCCCGCAACGAGCGCAACCCUUGUUCACUGUUGCCAGCACGUUAUGGUGGGGACUCAGUGGAGACCGCCGGGGUCAACUCGGAGGAAGGUGGGGAUGACGUCAAGUCAUCAUGCCCCUUAUGUCCAGGGCUUCACGCAUGCUACAAUGGCUGGUACAGAGAGUGGCGAGCCUGUGAGGGUGAGCGAAUCUCGGAAAGCCGGUCUCAGUUCGGAUUGGGGUCUGCAACUCGACCUCAUGAAGUCGGAGUCGCUAGUAAUCGCAGAUCAGCAACGCUGCGGUGAAUACGUUCCCGGGGCUUGUACACACCGCCCGUCAAGUCAUGAAAGUUGGUAACACCCGAAGCCGGUGGCCUAACCGUUGUGGGGGAGCCGUCGAAGGUGG
RNAcentral lists this ribosomal RNA (1431 nucleotides) under uncultured organism. RNAcentral's name for it is "partial small subunit ribosomal RNA". It matches the Rfam family "Bacterial small subunit ribosomal RNA". The record is from RNAcentral.